Molecule: long non-coding RNA, 552 nt
Filed under: Junco hyemalis (dark-eyed junco)
Lineage: Eukaryota; Metazoa; Chordata; Aves; Passeriformes; Passerellidae
Description: lncRNA (ENSJHYG00000002771.1)
Source: RNAcentral
GCCUUUUCAUUCGCCUUAAUUCACUGCGUUUCCUUUCUUGCUCCUUGCGAGGAACAGAGGGAGAGCUUGUUCCAGCAGACGGGCCCCAUCCGCCCCACCCGGCUCCGCUGGAGCGAGGGCUGGAAAAGCGGCAUGCGGGCGAAGGGGGGAAUCUCCCACCCCUGCGGGGCCUCCGCGCCGCUUCCCAGCAAAUACGCCAAACUUCUCGUCCGGUGACCGAGUGUUCCCCUCCGGAAGGGGCUGCAGCGGGGAGCCGCGGUCCGGCCAGGGUGACAUUUGCAGCGAGCCCAGGGUGACAUUUGCAGCGACCGGAGGUCACCCGGCGGAAGAAAACAAACGCAGCAAAAGCAGCAAAAGCAGCGCUGGGCGGCCACGGAGCGGCCCCGCAGAGAGGGGAGAGCACCAGAGGGGCGCUGAGGACCUGCAUUUGCCUCACACCAUAUUCCUUCUACUUUCCAUAAAACAUGUUUUUAAUCAUUGGCAAAACUUUUCUAUUUUUUUUCUUCUCUUCUCUUCUCUUCUCUUCUCUUCUCUUCUCUUCUCUUCUCUUCU